This 446-nucleotide ribosomal RNA is filed under the name uncultured bacterium. Its description in RNAcentral is "bacterial SSU rRNA". It matches the Rfam family "Bacterial small subunit ribosomal RNA", at positions 331 to 792 of the family's 1533-position model. The record is from RNAcentral.
CCAGACUCCUACGGGAGGCAGCAGUGGGGAAUAUUGGGCAAUGGGCGCAAGCCUGACCCAGCAACGCCGCGUGAAGGAAGAAGGCUUUCGGGUUGUAAACUUCUUUUAAGAGGGAAGAGCAGAAGACGGUACCUCUUGAAUAAGCUCCGGCUAACUACGUGCCAGCAGCCGCGGUAAUACGUAGGGAGCGAGCGUUGUCCGGAUUUACUGGGUGUAAAGGGCGUGCAGCCGGGAGUACAAGUCAGAUGUGGAAUCCCGCGGCUCAACCGCGGAACUGCAUUUGAAACUGUAUUUCUUGAGUACCGGAGAGGCAGACGGAAUUCCUAGUGUAGCGGUGAAAUGCGUAGAUAUUAGGAGGAACACCAGUGGCGAAGGCGGCCUGCUGGACGACAACUGACGGUGAGGCGCGAAAGCGUGGGGAGCAAACAGGAUUAGAUACCCUGGUA